CAGAAUAUAUUUCGCCAAAUUUAAGAAGUCCCUGACAUCAAAACAUAAGUCACACUCAUCCUAAAAUUAAAAAUAUAGAUUCUGUUAUUUUAAGAUUAUAUUAUUAGUAGUAGAAUUUGUAUAUUACAUAUGUUAUUAUUGUUGUUAUAUAUAUUAUUCUGUCUUUUAUCUGCAUUUUACCUCUGCUUUAUCUUGUUUCCUUCUAAUGAACCUGGAACUGCAGAGUAAAUAUUGUUGUCUCUGUGUCAGAUGGCUUGUUUUGUUCCUGGACUCUUCAGUGAUGAUGAGCAGAGUCUGAGUGAACCUGCUGUCAGACAAUCACUAUUGCACACCAAAUGCUCUUACUCAGCAGAUGGGGACAGCUACCAUCACCCAAUUUUCACCCAAAAGUGGCUGCGCUAUUCGCCAGACUGGGCAGGAGGGACUGGACGACAACUUAUGCAGGCAUCAGAUGACAAUGAAAUGUAAAUAAAGAGUAGAGAAGCUAAUAAACAUGAAUUUGAUUUUAAA
This is a long non-coding RNA of Carassius gibelio (silver crucian carp), 510 nucleotides long. RefSeq lists it as uncharacterized. The record is from RefSeq and is a predicted model, not a curated record. Lineage: Eukaryota; Metazoa; Chordata; Actinopteri; Cypriniformes; Cyprinidae. The transcript has 3 exons.